Molecule: ribosomal RNA, 253 nt
Filed under: uncultured bacterium
Lineage: Bacteria
Description: partial 16S ribosomal RNA
Rfam family: Bacterial small subunit ribosomal RNA
Source: RNAcentral
UACGUAGGGGGCAAGCGUUGUCCGGAAUUAUUGGGCGUAAAGAGCGCGUAGGCGGUCCGGUAAGUCGGCUGUGAAAGUCAAGGGCUCAACCCUUGAAAGCCGGCCGAUACUGUCGGACUAGAGUCCGGAAGAGGCGAGUGGAAUUCCCGGUGUAGCGGUGAAAUGCGCAGAUAUCGGGAGGAACACCAAUGGCGAAGGCAGCUCGCUGGGACGGUACCGACGCUGAGGCGCGAAAGCCAGGGGAGCGAACGGG